AAACCGUGGUGUGGGCAACAUCUCAGCAAGUCCUUGUACCUCUCCCAUGCAUCAUACAUACUCUUAUCAUCAAAUUGCACAAAAGAAGAAAUAUCAUUAUGCAUUUU
Molecule: non-coding RNA, 107 nt
Organism: Ricinus communis (castor bean)
Lineage: Eukaryota; Viridiplantae; Streptophyta; Magnoliopsida; Malpighiales; Euphorbiaceae
Source: Rfam